UGUGCAAAGGCCCAGAGGCAAGAGAUGUGGAGAAGCACGAGAAGUUCGAGCGCCUUUCAGCCACACCUGCGUUUACAUGGAUGGGCGACUUGGAAAGACCCCAGAUGGCCUCGGGGUGGGGGCUGACUUGACUGUCAGUGGCCAACGGCUUAAUCAAUCUGCGUAUGUAGUGAAGUCCCUAUGAAAAACCCAAAGGACAGGGUUCCGGGAGCUUCCCACUGGCGAACACCGGAGAUGCGGUGGAGUGGCCGCUCUGAGAGGGCGUGGGAGCCCCGUCUCCCUCUGCCCCCACCUCGCCUCUGAGCAUCUCUUCCAUCUGGCUGUUCCCGACUUACAUCCUUUCACAGCAAACCAGUAAUCUAGUGACUGAACUGUUUUCCUGAGUUCUGCAAGCAAUUCUCAGACCCCAGGAAGGGGUCGCGGGAGGCUCUGAGUUGCAGCGGGAGGGACAGAGCACAGAGCGAGGGGCUGCAGAGAGCCAGGCAGAAGCCACGAUGCCUCUUACGACGUGGCCUUGGGAGUCACACUCCGUCAUUUCCACAGCAUCCCACUGGGCACAAGGGGACACGAUGGGUGUGCAGGCCUCAGAAGGCAUCUUUCUCUGACGUAUGCCGCUCGGAAGCGUGAUGGGGACUUGGGGAGAAGGGGACCAGGUGAAUGACAGCACUUCUGGCUGUGGCAGCAAGAACUGGAUGUUGGCAUCAGACGGAUCUGAAAUGUGUUCCCUGGGUGUGACCUCGAGCAUGAAAAAGCAGGUUCAACUCACAACCGGAAAAGGGACAGGUCAAGGUUCCCAGAGGAUGAAAUGUCAGCCUUCGGCGGCGGCAAUGCCAUUCCGCCGGAGGCGCUGAAAAUAGACGCAAAAACAGAAGCCUCAAGUCUCCGGAGGCCAGAGAAGGAGAGACAGAAAGAAAGUGAACUCGAGAAGGGCCAGCUUGGAAGGACUUUGCCCUUUUAAAUGUGACCUUGCCACAUGCAAAAUUCAGGUAGAAACAAAACCUGUACGAGCUGUGACCACAGGAAGAAACUGAGGCUCAGAGACACAAAUGACUGACCCCCAGACCACACAGCUAAUGAAAUGGUGGAGUUAGGAUUUGAACCCAGGUCUGUCUGAGCCUGCGUAGUUAUUUCCCAUAAAUGUGCUGCCCCCCUAUGCCUCCCUGUUUUCAUCUACCAAUUAGGGAUAGUCACACAAUCCAAGAAACGGCAUCAUUCUGUGCUCUGUAACCAACAUGGCAGCCUCGUGUGACAUAUCUGUUCAUGGAUACUUGGCUGCGUCAAUGAAUGGAUAUGUGGAUGGAUAAUGGGACAGUCAGACAGAUAAAUGGAU
Molecule: long non-coding RNA, 1330 nt
Filed under: Equus caballus (horse)
Lineage: Eukaryota; Metazoa; Chordata; Mammalia; Perissodactyla; Equidae
Description: lncRNA (ENSECAG00000039992.2)
Source: RNAcentral